GUGGGGAAUUUUGCGCAAUGGGGGAAACCCUGACGCAGCAACGCCGCGUGAGUGAUGAAGGCCUUCGGGUCGUAAAGCUCUGUCAGAGGGGAAGAAGUGUGAGGUGGCUAAUAUCCAUUUCACUUGACGGUACCUUCAAAGGAAGCACCGGCUAACUCCGUGCCAGCAGCCGCGGUAAUACGGAGGGUGCGAGCGUUGUUCGGAAUUAUUGGGCGUAAAGCGCGUGUAGGCGGUUUUUUAAGUCUGAUGUGAAAGCCCUGGGCUCAACCCGGGAAGUGCAUUGGAAACUGGGAGACUUGAAUACGGGAGAGGGCAGUGGAAUUCCUGGUGUAGGAGUGAAAUCCGUAGAUAUCAGGAGGAACACCGGUGGCGAAGGCGGCUGCCUGGACCGAUAUUGACGCUGAGACGCGAAAGCGUGGGGAGCAAACAGGAUUAGAAACCCGGGUAGUCC
Molecule: ribosomal RNA, 451 nt
Filed under: uncultured bacterium
Lineage: Bacteria
Description: partial 16S ribosomal RNA
Rfam family: Bacterial small subunit ribosomal RNA
Source: RNAcentral